Molecule: ribosomal RNA, 520 nt
Filed under: uncultured bacterium
Lineage: Bacteria
Description: bacterial SSU rRNA
Rfam family: Bacterial small subunit ribosomal RNA
Source: RNAcentral
AGAGUUUGAUUAUGGCUCAGGACGAACGCUGGCGGCGUGCCUAACACAUGCAAGUCGAGCGGAGACAUGCGACGGAUGCGAAGUUUCGGACGGAGUUGAAGAUGUAUGUUUAGCGGCGGACGGGUGAGUAACGCGUGAACAAUCUGUCCUUCACAGGGGGAUAACACAGCGAAAGUUGUACUAAUACCGCAUGAGACCACAGUGCCGCAUGGUACAGGGGUCAAAGGAGCAAUCCGGUGAAGGGUGAGUUCGCGUCCGAUUAGAUAGUUGGUGAGGUAACGGCCCACCAAGUCGACGAUCGGUAGCCGACCUGAGAGGGUGAUCGGCCACAUUGGGACUGAGACACGGCCCAACUCCUACGGGAGGCAGCAGUGGGGAAUAUUGGGCAAUGGGGGAAACCCUGACCCAGCAACGCCGCGUGAGGGAAGAAGGUUUUCGGAUCGUAAACCUCUGUCCUUGGUGAAGAGAAAGAGACGGUAGCCAAGGAGGAAGCCCCGGCUAACUACGUGCCAGCCGCGGC